UCCGGGCCGAGGCGACUGGAAGAAGCCGUAGUACGCAGGAGCAAGGGCCGAGAGGCGAGCGCCGAACGCUAUCAGGAGUGGCUAGCCGAUUGUCGAGCUCGGGAAACUGCGUGUUUACGUAGGUCCCAUAGCUAGUGCUGAACAUUUUGCAAGUGCUUCAUGAAUAUUUAUUGCAUGAAUAAUUGAACGUGGCCUUGUGGAACUGGAAUGCAGAGCUCAUGAAAGAGAACAGCAGAAGACAAUGGUGAAAGGCAACUGGCACAUUGUGAGCUGCCCUAUGGAGUGGAUUACAUGGCAAGGAACUGAGGGAGGCCUCUGGGCAACAUCCAUUAAAGAACUGAGGCCCUUAGUCCAACAACCUGGAGGAACUGAAACCUCCAGCAACCUGUGAGUGACUCUGGCAAAUUCUCCUCCAUCAACA
Molecule: long non-coding RNA, 421 nt
Organism: Pongo pygmaeus (Bornean orangutan)
Lineage: Eukaryota; Metazoa; Chordata; Mammalia; Primates; Hominidae
Exons: 3
Source: RefSeq, a predicted model, not a curated record